Molecule: ribosomal RNA, 426 nt
Filed under: uncultured Actinomycetes bacterium
Lineage: Bacteria; Bacillati; Actinomycetota; Actinomycetes
Description: bacterial SSU rRNA
Rfam family: Bacterial small subunit ribosomal RNA
Source: RNAcentral
AACGCGAAGAACCUUACCUGGGCUUGACAUGUGAGUGACAGGUGUGGAAACACACCCUCCCUUCGGGGCACUUUCACAGGUGGUGCAUGGCUGUCGUCAGCUCGUGUCGUGAGAUGUUGGGUUAAGUCCCGCAACGAGCGCAACCCCCGUCGCAUGUUGCCAGCAUUCAGUUGGGGACUCAUGUGAGACUGCCGGUGACAAACCGGAGGAAGGUGGGGAUGACGUCAAGUCAUCAUGCCCCUUAUGUCCAGGGCUACACACGUGCUACAUUGGCGCGUACAGAGGGCUGCGAUACCGCGAGGUGGAGCGAAUCCCUUAAAGCGCGUCUCGGUUCGGAUUGCAGGCUGAAACUCGCCUGCAUGAAGGCGGAGUUGCUAGUAAUCGCGGAUCAGCAUUGCCGCGGUGAAUACGUUCCCGGGCCUUGUA